This 717-nucleotide long non-coding RNA is filed under the name Mus pahari (shrew mouse). Its description in RNAcentral is "RIKEN cDNA 4930520M14 gene (MGP_PahariEiJ_G0003209.1)". Lineage: Eukaryota; Metazoa; Chordata; Mammalia; Rodentia; Muridae. The record is from RNAcentral.
AGACAGGCUCAGAGAAGUCACCUGUGCUGGCCACUCAUUUACUUCUGACAUACUACAGGCUCCAGGCUAAAACAUCAUUGGGAGUUUGAGUGAGGCCAACAUGGGCUCUGGCUAUGUGGGGACAACCUGUCUGAAAACCUAAGGCUGAGCCUAGCAAGUGCUACUUGACUGAGGAUGGAAAUGGAAAACAGAGUAGUCACACUCACAGCUGAGCACUGCUGUCUAUAAAAGCAUCCUCCUGGGGCCGGUUCAGGAGAAAAGUGUUCUCCACAUGUCGUCAAAGGCACGGCAGCCUGUCCAUAAUCCCAGUGCUCAGGAAGUGGAGAUCCCAGGAACAAACCGGCUAGCUAGACUGAACAACCAAACAUGGUGAACUCUGAAUUCAGUGAGAUCUUGCAUGACUAAAAAAAGGUUUUCUUGUGGAUUCACCUGUAUAGGGGGAGCCUUUGGACAACGACUCAGCACAUCUUUCUCACGGGUCUCCCACAUCUUGCUAGGCACCCAAUUUUCUGACCUGUCAGGCAUGCCCUAACUUAGUAGUACAACUGAUUCUCCUUAGCAUACAGGACAGCUUGGAGGAGGCAAACUGGAAAGAACAGAACAGCAAGCAGCUGCUGACUCAAAGGACCCAGACAUCCUGUCUGGAGCAUGCGCCUUCCAAAGACAGCCCCUAGCUCAGGGCCUCUGGUGGAUGCUCAAACUAUUAAAGCAAGUGAC